Molecule: ribosomal RNA, 116 nt
Filed under: Periophthalmus magnuspinnatus
Lineage: Eukaryota; Metazoa; Chordata; Actinopteri; Gobiiformes; Gobiidae
Source: RNAcentral
AGUUGCGGCCAAACCUCAUUGUCAAAGCCUGAUUUCGUCAAAACGGGAGAAGCUAAGCAGGGCUGGGCCUGGUUAGGACUUGGAUGGGAGACCGCAGGGACCAGGUGCCACAGUGG